Molecule: transfer RNA, 98 nt
Filed under: Desulfuromonadales bacterium
Lineage: Bacteria; Pseudomonadati; Thermodesulfobacteriota; Desulfuromonadia; Desulfuromonadales
Description: tRNA-Sec
Rfam family: Selenocysteine transfer RNA
Source: RNAcentral
GGAAGCACGUCGGUCGCUGGUGGGCCGCCCAGUCUUCAAAACUGGUGAGGGGGAUGAGAAAUCUCCCUGGCAGGUUCGAUUCCUGUGUGCUUCCGCCA